This is a long non-coding RNA of Chrysemys picta bellii (western painted turtle), 835 nucleotides long. RefSeq lists it as uncharacterized. NCBI's taxonomy places the organism in Eukaryota, Metazoa, Chordata, Testudines, Emydidae. The record is from RefSeq and is a predicted model, not a curated record.
CUAAGGCAAAGCAUCACGGGAACUAGGUGUGAGCUGGAAGCCUGGCUAAGAAAUGCCAAGUGUGCUGUUCCCAAGACUGCGACCAGAGGCAGCUGGUAGAACCACUUUAUCUUAGGAGGACUGUUAUGAAGGAGGCCAGUUGUUUUCUUAUCUUCAGCAGAAGGGUGGACCUGGAACCAGCCCUCAGAGCCUCCUGUUGGCUCAGAUAAAGAAUCAUGUGCUAACAGGGGUGGAAUUCAUCCAAGGCGAAUAUGGCGAGCAGAGAUCUUAGCAGCUGAGUAAGGAAGUGGGUACUUUUGGAUGAGAAAUACUGGCAGGACACUGAAAGAACUUCAUGGGAGACUAGAGCUAGUACACUUGUCUUUGCUUUUCCAGGACACGAAACCUUUAGCGCAGCAGCGGUUGCUUUCUGCUGUGAUGGCUCAUUGGUUCAACAGAUGUGAGCAAACGUAUAGAUGGGCUGCAUCUCACAGUCUUAAAAGGCAUGAUCAGCAUGUGAUCCUCUUGAAAGCAUAAGGACCAUGGUUCCAUUCAGUCAUCUGAUAAUGAUGUCAAACAGCUAUGCUAGAUUUAGAUGGCUAUAGAUACAGUAUCUAGCUGUGCCGCUAUAACUAACAUAAACCGUAUUUCCUCUCCUACAAUAUUGCACUUACUUGUGUCCGUACAGGAAUUUUAGCCACUAGUGUAGCUGCAUUAGUUUGUAUCACUGCAGUGUGAUGUGAACCUUGUUGCAAGUACUGCUGCACUGGUGGAAACCAUUACAAAAAGUGUUUUUUUUCUCCUGCUGGUAAUAGCUCACCUUAAUUGAUCACUCUCGUUAUAGUGUAUGGUAACA